UGAAAUCUGAGGACGGAACAGGCAGCCGUCACGCCCUUUGUGGUCUUAAAGAGAUGUGGGAUUGUCACCCCACCUAUUUCA
This 81-nucleotide non-coding RNA is filed under the name unclassified sequences. The record is from Rfam.